This 292-nucleotide ribosomal RNA is filed under the name uncultured bacterium. RNAcentral's name for it is "partial 16S ribosomal RNA". It matches the Rfam family "Bacterial small subunit ribosomal RNA", at positions 505 to 796 of the family's 1533-position model. The record is from RNAcentral.
GUGCCAGCAGCCGCGGUAAUACGGAGGAUGCAAGCGUUAUCCGGAAUGAUUGGGCGUAAAGCGUUUUAAGGUGGUUUGGUAAGUCUACUGUUAAAUAUCAGGGCUUAACCCUGAACAGGCAGUGGAAACUAGCAAGCUUGAGUACGGUAGGGGCAGAGGGAAUUCCCGGUGUAGCGGUGAAAUGCGUAGAUAUCGGGAAGAACACCAAAGGCGAAAGCACUCUGCUGGGCCGAAACUGACACUGAUAGACGAAAGCUAGGGGAGCAAAUGGGAUUAGAUACCCGCGUAGUCC